AUGGCUGAUGUUAACACUGUUGCUACCAACUGCACAACCAUCCAGGUGGCGGGUAGUAGCUCUACAUCUCUCCCUAACGACCUCAACUCCUUUUUCACCAGGUUUGAGACUGACAACUCCACCCAACUGGCAGAUACAUUAACAACACUGAAACCUGGUGACUCCACACUCACCUUUAAAACAGAGGAGGUGGUCAGAGCCCUCAGGAAGACCAGGGAGAACAGCUCUCCUGGCCCAGACAACAUCAGUGGCCGCGUCCUGAGGUUCUGUGCUGAGCAGCUGGGGGGAGUGUUCCAAACCCUGUUUCAGAGAUCCAUGGACACCAGCACAGUCCCCCAGCUGUGGAAACACUCUAUAGUCAUCCCCAUCCCAAAGAAAAGCACCAUCAACACUCUGAACGACCUCAGGCCUGUGGCCCUCACAUCCCUGGUGAUGAAGGCCAUGGAGAGGGUCGUUAAAAAACACAUCCUCACUGUAACCGACACCCUGAUUGACUCACUACAGUAUGCUUACCGCGCAGGCAGAGGUGUGGACGACGCAAAAGCAUUCAUCAUUGACACUGUACACAAACAUCUAGAGCGGCCCAACACAUCAGCCAGACUCUUGUUUAUAGACUCCUCUGCAUUCAAUACACUACAGCCCCACAUCCUGGCGAACAAACUCACCUCCUACUUCCAUCUAGACGACCAGCUCAUCCGGUGGAUAAUGGACUUUCUAACCGACAGGUCACAGAGAGUCCGGGUCAAAAACACCUUCUCCGACCUCCGACACACCUCGACGGGCUCCCCUCAGGGCUGUGUGCUCUCACCUCUGCUCUUCAUCCUCUAUACAGAUGACUGCAGAUCCACACAGCCUCAGUGUCACCUGGUGAAGUACGCAGACGACACAGUUCUCCUGUCCCUGCUCUCAGGUCCUUCACAGCAGCAUGGAUCAGCUCUCCAGGAGUUUGUGGAGUGGUGCGACAGCUCAUGCCUUGAGAUGAACGUGAGUAAGACCAAAGAGAUGGUGGUGACCUUUUCUAAGAGGCAGAGAGAGCUGGCCGCAGCAUCCAUCAUCUCAAUCCACGGGAGGCCGCUGGAGCUGGUGGAGGAGUAUAAAUACCUGGGCACCAUCUUCGACAGCCAGUUGAAAUUCUCCUCCAACACUGAAGAGAUCCUUAGGAAGUGUCAUCAUUACUUUCUAUUACUCCUUCAUUGA
This 1197-nucleotide long non-coding RNA is filed under the name Gadus morhua (Atlantic cod). Its description in RNAcentral is "lncRNA (ENSGMOG00000034705.1)". Lineage: Eukaryota; Metazoa; Chordata; Actinopteri; Gadiformes; Gadidae. The record is from RNAcentral.